This is a long non-coding RNA of Pygoscelis adeliae (Adelie penguin), 305 nucleotides long. RefSeq lists it as uncharacterized. Lineage: Eukaryota; Metazoa; Chordata; Aves; Sphenisciformes; Spheniscidae. The record is from RefSeq and is a predicted model, not a curated record. The transcript has 4 exons.
CACACACACCCCUCCCACCAAAGCCCAUCAGGACAUUCACAAAACCAGAAGGCGUUCAGCACAUCAGUCUGACAAGAGCUUUCAAAAUUACUUUGAACCACUGAACUUUGCACCUUGCUCCAGCAUCCAGAAAAUACAAACAGGAGUCUCUGUGGAAGGUGUAACUACAUGUAAUAUGAACUUUUUUAAUGAACUAUUUUUUUUAAAUAAAUAACAAGAUGUGCAUAUCUAAAAGAGUGACUCUACAGCACUUCAAGUAGAUCUUGCCAAUUACUUAGUAGUUGAUAGAAUCAUAGAAUCAAUGA